UAGGGAAUCUUCCACAAUGGGCGAAAGCCUGAUGGAGCAACGCCGCGUGUGUGAUGAAAGGUUUCGGCUCGUAAAACACUGUUGUAAGAGAAGAAUGACAUUGAGAGUAACUGUUCAAUGUGUGACGGUAUCUUACCAGAAAGGAACGGCUAAAUACGUGCCAG
Molecule: ribosomal RNA, 164 nt
Filed under: uncultured bacterium
Lineage: Bacteria
Description: partial 16S rRNA
Rfam family: Bacterial small subunit ribosomal RNA
Source: RNAcentral